UGGCUGUCGUCAGCUCGUGUCGUGAGAUGUUGGGUUAAGUCCCGCAACGAGCGCAACCCUUAUCCUUAGUUACCAGCGGGAAAGCCGGGGACUCUAAGGAGACUGCCUGCGAUAAGCAGGAGGAAGGUGGGGAUGACGUCAAGUCAGUACGGCCCUUACGCCUGGGGCUACACACGUGCUACAAUGCGCGGUACAAAGGGUUGCAAACCCGUGAGGGGGAGCCAAUCCCAAAAAACCGUGCCCAGUUCGGAUCGAAGGCUGCAACUCGCCUUCGUGAAGCCGGAAUCGUUAGUAACCCCACAUAAGUCACGGCGAGGUGAAUACGUUCCCGGGUCUUGUACACACCGCCCGU
RNAcentral lists this ribosomal RNA (352 nucleotides) under uncultured bacterium. RNAcentral's name for it is "bacterial SSU rRNA". It matches the Rfam family "Bacterial small subunit ribosomal RNA", at positions 1046 to 1397 of the family's 1533-position model. The record is from RNAcentral.